This 325-nucleotide long non-coding RNA is filed under the name Cricetulus griseus (Chinese hamster). RNAcentral describes it as "lncRNA (ENSCGRG00015033704.1)". Lineage: Eukaryota; Metazoa; Chordata; Mammalia; Rodentia; Cricetidae. The record is from RNAcentral.
UGUUUCAUUAAUGUCCCCAGCAGCAGGUAUGGCCACUGCUUUGCACUGCCACCACCAGGGUCAUUGCAUUCAAGGCUGAUGGGACAACUGCCACAUGUCUAGCAAGUCAGGACUAGUCUCCUGGCCAGCACUCAGCAGUGUCUGGAUAUUAAUGACACAGACUUGAACAUUUAUCACACAAGGAACCAUAGGCUACGAUGUGUGGCCAGUGAACAGGCUCAAAGGUACUCCACAGUGUGCAAGGCAGGGUGCUGAAUUGUUGGAACAGGCCUGAACCACUGUUUCCUUUAUCAUUUUCAAAGUUUCAGGGAUCAUUGAGGAAGAG